GACACGGCCCAGACUCCUACGGGAGGCAGCAGUAGGGAAUCUUCCGCAAUGGACGAAAGUCUGACGGAGCAACGCCGCGUGAGUGAUGAAGGCUUUCGGGUCGUAAAACUCUGUUGUUAGGGAAGAACAAGUACGAGAGUAACUGCUCGUACCUUGACGGUACCUAACCAGAAAGCCACGGCUAACUACGUGCCAGCAGCCGCGGUAAUACGUAGGUGGCAAGCGUUAUCCGGAAUUAUUGGGCGUAAAGCGCGCGCAGGCGGUUUCUUAAGUCUGAUGUGAAAGCCCACGGCUCAACCGUGGAGGGUCAUUGGAAACUGGGGAACUUGAGUGCAGAAGAGAAAAGCGGAAUUCCACGUGUAGCGGUGAAAUGCGUAGAGAUGUGGAGGAACACCAGUGGCGAAGGCGGCUUUUUGGUCUGUAACUGACGCUGAGGCGCGAAAGCGUGGGGAGCAAACAGGAUUAGAUACCCUGGUAGUCCACGCCGUAAACGAUGAGUGCUAAGUGUUAGAGGGUUUCCGCCCUUUAGUGCUGCAGCUAACGCAUUAAG
This 550-nucleotide ribosomal RNA is filed under the name Priestia flexa. RNAcentral describes it as "bacterial SSU rRNA". It matches the Rfam family "Bacterial small subunit ribosomal RNA", at positions 323 to 864 of the family's 1533-position model. The record is from RNAcentral. Lineage: Bacteria; Bacillati; Bacillota; Bacilli; Caryophanales; Bacillaceae.